UGUUUGCUAAUAUUGUGUUUGUUACAUGCUGUUGAAUUGGGCCAAUUCCUGGCUACACUAUGAAUGAGUGAUGUCCACAAUGUUCUGUCCUCAAUAGCCCUGCUCAGCUUCUGUAGAUUCAUGCCUAU
This is a long non-coding RNA of Pipistrellus kuhlii (Kuhl's pipistrelle), 128 nucleotides long. RefSeq lists it as uncharacterized. The record is from RefSeq and is a predicted model, not a curated record. NCBI's taxonomy places the organism in Eukaryota, Metazoa, Chordata, Mammalia, Chiroptera, Vespertilionidae. The transcript is spliced from 3 exons.